This is a small nuclear RNA of Panthera pardus (leopard), 104 nucleotides long. Lineage: Eukaryota; Metazoa; Chordata; Mammalia; Carnivora; Felidae. The record is from Ensembl.
GGGCUUGCUUUGGCAGUGCGUGUACUAAAUUUGGACCAGUAUACAGAUUAGCACGACCUUUGUGUAAGGAUGAUAUGCAAAUUCAUGAAGUUUUUUUUUUUUUU